ACGGUUCUCUAAACCAGCUCGCGAUGGAGUAAGAGUCUGAGCGUCUUCCGCGUUGGAGGUUUUGCUUGACUUCCCAAUGCUGAAGCUGAGCCGGCGAAACGGCGAAAUGCUCCUUGCUCUUUCUGAUACAACUUUAACUGGCUUCUGAUCUGAUAGCUUGGGGAGUGUCUCUGUUGACCUUCUGUCUAAAGUCCUGCUCCUGGAGGGACUGGAUUCAGACUUUCUCGACCGCGGAGCCGAGCUUGAUCUAUUCUUCUCUGCGCUCAAGAAGUUGAGACGCUUCAAGAACGGCUUACUUCCAUCAGCAGCUUCACGUCGGAAGUGGUUCUCUAAACCAGCUCGCGAUGGAGUAAGAGUCUGAGCGUCUUCCGGGUUGGAGUGUUUGCUUGACUUCCCAAUGCUGAAGCUGAGACGGCGAAACGGUGAAAUGCUCCUUGCUCUUUCUGCCACAACUUUAACUGGUUUCUGAUCUGAUAGCUUAGGGAGCGUCUCUGUUGACCUUCUGUCUAAAGUCCUGCUCCUGGA
Molecule: long non-coding RNA, 525 nt
Filed under: Brassica napus (rape)
Lineage: Eukaryota; Viridiplantae; Streptophyta; Magnoliopsida; Brassicales; Brassicaceae
Description: long non-coding RNA (BNAP_LNC015406)
Source: RNAcentral